Molecule: unclassified non-coding RNA, 240 nt
Filed under: soil metagenome
Description: partial contains 5.8S ribosomal RNA, internal transcribed spacer 2, and large subunit ribosomal RNA
Source: RNAcentral
AAGACUAUAGACCUGCGGAGUACCUGCGGAAGGAUCAUUACUGAGUGAGGGCCCUCUGGGUCCAACCUCCCACCCGUGUUUAUUGUACCUUGUUGCUUCGGUGGGCCCGCCGCAAGGCCGCCGGGGGCUUCCGCCCCGGGCCCGCGCCCACCGGAGACAAACUGAACUCUGUCUGAAUGUUGCAGUCUGAGUAAAAACUUAAUAAGUUAAAACUUUCAGCAAUGGAUCUCUAGAUCGGAA